This 250-nucleotide ribosomal RNA is filed under the name uncultured bacterium. RNAcentral's name for it is "partial 16S ribosomal RNA". It matches the Rfam family "Bacterial small subunit ribosomal RNA", at positions 86 to 339 of the family's 1533-position model. The record is from RNAcentral.
CCAAAGUUAGUGGCGAACGGGUGAGUAAUAUAUCGGAACAUAUCCGGAAGUGGGGGAUAACUAGUCGAAAGAUUAGCUAAUACCGCAUAUGCCCUGAGGGGGAAAGGGGGGGAUCGCAAGACCUCCCGCUUUCGGAGUGGCCGAUACCGGAUUAGCUAGAUGGUGAGGUAAAGGCUCACCAUGGCGACGAUCCGUAGCUGGUCUGAGAGGACGACCAGCCACACUGGAACUGAGACACGGUCCAGACUCC